RNAcentral lists this non-coding RNA (234 nucleotides) under Dyella thiooxydans. The record is from RNAcentral. Lineage: Bacteria; Pseudomonadati; Pseudomonadota; Gammaproteobacteria; Lysobacterales; Rhodanobacteraceae.
AUAGUCGGCGGCGUUUCGGGUGUCCCCACGGCGUGUCCAGGGGAUGAAACGGGAAGCCGGUGCGUCGCGCAUCCACGCGCAACCAGGCCGGCGCUGCCCCCGCAACGGUAGGCGGAUGAUCCGUCGGACGUCGACAAGACCACUGUGCCUCGGCAUGGGAAGGUGACGUCCGGUACAUGCCCUCGGGGCGUGUCAUCCGCGAGCCCGGAGACCGGCCCGAUUCGCUGUCCUGAC